This 466-nucleotide ribosomal RNA is filed under the name uncultured bacterium. RNAcentral's name for it is "partial 16S ribosomal RNA". It matches the Rfam family "Bacterial small subunit ribosomal RNA", at positions 28 to 507 of the family's 1533-position model. The record is from RNAcentral.
GAUGAACGCUGGCGGCGUGCUUAACACAUGCAAGUCGAACGAUGAAGCCCAGCUUGCUGGGUGGAUUAGUGGCGAACGGGUGAGUAACACGUGAGUAACCUGCCCUUGACUCUGGUAUAAGCCUGGGAAACUGGGUCUAAUACUGGAUAUGACUUCUCAUCGCAUGGUGGGGGGUGGAAAGAUUUAUUGGUCUUGGAUGGACUCGCGGCCUAUCAGCUUGUUGGUGAGGUAAUGGCUCACCAAGGCGACGACGGGUAGCCGGCCUGAGAGGGUGACCGGCCACACUGGGACUGAGACACGGCCCAGACUCCUACGGGAGGCAGCAGUGGGGAAUAUUGCACAAUGGGCGCAAGCCUGAUGCAGCGACGCCGCGUGAGGGACGACGGCCUUCGGGUUGUAAACCUCUUUCAGUAGGGAAGAAGCGAGAGUGACGGUACCUGCAGAAGAAGCGCCGGCUAACUACGUG